RNAcentral lists this ribosomal RNA (509 nucleotides) under uncultured bacterium. RNAcentral's name for it is "partial 16S ribosomal RNA". It matches the Rfam family "Bacterial small subunit ribosomal RNA", at positions 28 to 506 of the family's 1533-position model. The record is from RNAcentral.
GACGAACGCUGGCGGCGUGCUUAACACAUGCAAGUCGAACGAAGAGCGAUGGAAGCUUGCUUCUAUCAAUCUUAGUGGCGCACGGGUGAGUAACGCGUAAUCAACCUGCCCUUCAGAGGGGGACAACAGUUGGAAACGACUGCUAAUACCGCAUACGAUCUAAUCUCGGCAUCGAGGAUAGAUGAAAGGUGGCCUCUACAUGUAAGCUAUCACUGAAGGGGGGGAUUGCGUCUGAUUAGCUAGUUGGAGGGGUAACGGCCCACCAAGGCGAUGAUCAGUAGCCGGUCUGAGAGGAUGAACGGCCACAUUGGGACUGAGACACGGCCCAGACUCCUACGGGAGGCAGCAGUGGGGAAUCUUCCGCAAUGGACGAAAGUCUGACGGAGCAACGCCGCGUGAGUGAUGACGGCCUUCGGGUUGUAAAGCUCUGUUAAUCGGGACGAAAGGCCUUCUUGCGAAUAGUGAGAAGGAUUGACGGGACCGGAAUAGAAAGCCACGGCGAACUACGU